UCAAGAAACUUCCACAAUGGGCGAAAGCCUGAUGGAGCGACGUCGCGUGAUGGACGAAGUGCUUCGGCACGUAAACAUCUUUUAUGUGGGAUGAAAUUAUUGACAGUACCACAUGAAUAAGGGGCUCCUAACUCUGUGCCAGCAGGAGCGGUAAUACAGAGGCCCCAAGCGUUAUCCGGAAUCACUGGGCGUAAAGGGUGUCGAGGCGGUUGUAUUAGUCGUUCGUAAAAUCUACGAGCUUAACUUGUAGGCGGCGAACGAAACGGUACGACUUGAGGUUUGGAGAGGUGCGUGGAACUCACGGUGUAGGGGUGAAAUCCGUUGAUAUCGUGGGGAACACCAAAGGCGAAGGCAGUGCACUGGCCAAAAUCUGACGCUCACACACGAAAGCUAGGGUAGCGAAGAGGAUUAGAUACCCUCGUAGUCCCUGAGCGGGCUGGCAAGGCGCAU
This 450-nucleotide ribosomal RNA is filed under the name uncultured bacterium. Its description in RNAcentral is "bacterial SSU rRNA". It matches the Rfam family "Bacterial small subunit ribosomal RNA", at positions 355 to 825 of the family's 1533-position model. The record is from RNAcentral.